This 254-nucleotide ribosomal RNA is filed under the name uncultured bacterium. Its description in RNAcentral is "partial 16S ribosomal RNA". It matches the Rfam family "Bacterial small subunit ribosomal RNA", at positions 524 to 776 of the family's 1533-position model. The record is from RNAcentral.
CACGUAGGGUCCAAGCGUUGUCCGGAUUUAUUGGGCGUAAAGAGCUCGUAGGCGGCUUGGUAAGUCGAGUGUGAAAACUCCAGGCUCAACCUGGAGACGCCACUCGAGACUGCUAUGGCUAGAGUCCGGUAGGGGACCACGGAAUUCCCGGUGUAGCGGUGAAAUGCGCAGAUAUCAGGAGGAACACCAAUGGCGAAGGCAGCUCGCUGGGACGGUACUGACGCUGAGACGCGAAAGCGUGGGGAGCAAACAGG